UAGACAGAGAAGGGCUUCGGUAGAUUUGUCGGACUGUCGAGUAAGCAGUCUGGCUAGCGGUAUCGUUGCUGCGGCUGGAAUGGGGGGCUUGGCCCCAGGCCAACAGUGGUUAGAAAGGCUCAUUGUUGGGUGUAACUAACUACCAAAUUUAAAGCUAUUGGUAGGUGACUCAACGCAGCCUUAAACGGGGCCGCAGUACCCAGUAAAAGGCUGUGCUAAUUGUUUUGAGAACGGUACCUUGGCUAUCUAAUAUCCAUUCAACUGAAUUACCUGUUUUUUUGCAUGAUAUUGCUGUGCAACAGCAAUUCUGAGUCAAAACUGGACGACAUGAAGGGGUGUGUAAGUAACAUUGACUGCAUUAAUGCCAGAUAGUUGCAAUGACACGGCUUGGUAAACUUGCAAAAUAUCACCUUGCAAGACAGUCCUCUGAAUAACUCAGCAAGCUAACUUGGCUAAAGCUUAUACUUAGUAGUUUUUAGCAUAAGGUCGAUGAUUAGCGAAGUUCUCUAGCAGAGAUGUUUAACAGUAGAAUUGCAUAUCGUAUAUUUCGACCAUGAAACAAAACCUUUGCAUGGAAGACGGCUAACUGGGUCGCUUGCAGUUACCUAAUGCAAGUCCUCCUACAUACUCCAAGUGUAACGUUUGCCAGCUAACCUUAGCAUAGCAUGGUUUGAGCUUUCCAGCUGCCAAACGAGGGCUAACUGGGCAUUGUGUCUGUAUUUGACGAGACAAUUACUCAAUCUAUCUAGCUCAAUAUUUGUUAGAAAUGUCAUCAACGCGUGAAUGUUAUUAGUGAGCAAUGAUCAUGCCUGACUGCAACUGCUAGCCUGAGAAGUGUGCGGCUUUGUUCUUCAGUUGUGGUGGAGUCCAACCGGAAAGUCGUGGCAAUGCGACCAAAUUUGGUAAAUAAAGGGGAAAUAACUGGAAGCGUUGAGCCCUUCAUAGUCAUUUAGCGAUCCCGUUGUCUCUGUUCGGACAAUUUCCUUUAACAUAUAUGAAACCAAUUUCGACGCAGUACAUAUUUUAGUAUGAUGGAUAACCUUACCUAACUAUAUAAAGGUCGUGAACAUCACUAGUAGUCUAACGUUAGUUAUUUGUUGUUCACUGUUGACGUCAGGGUUAAUAAGUCUACGAUUUGACAUUAGCUCCUGGUUGUUUCGAAGCUAUCCAGCAGCUGCCCUGGCUAUCAGCAAACUGAAUACUUUGCACAUUGAUAAGAGGUUUGGUUGCAAGACAUACUUAUUGCAGUACAGUAUGUGUUUCAUGUCAUAUCAGUUGGGUUUGCAGAACUGCCCGUGUGCUAUGGUAACAAAAUGACCGUACUGAACUAAAGAGUUGGUAUUCUCCUUCUAUCACCUCGUCGCUCCAUUAGAAUAGCUCACAAUGACAUCUAGGCAGAGAGCAUUUCACUGACCUUAACGGGCAGUCAACAAGAAACCGAUUUUUUUGCAACUUAUUCCAAGGUUUACCGUUGUGGGUGCUUCAUUUUACUAGGUAGGAACAUUAUGUACACUGACAAAUGAACGCUAAAAAGACUAAGUACAAGGAUGUAUGACUGGGUAGUAGCUACAGUCCUAAAAUUAGACGACGAGACCCGAUGAAGUCAUGCAUACUCUGUUAGAUCACAGCUGAAGAUAUGGGUUCUGUUUUCAAAUUAGCUGGAAUAUUCAACAUGCUGUAGACCGCAUAUUUGUCUCCAACUGAAUAAGACAGAUCGUUUGUGUCACUGUUUACCGAUGUUUGGUGUCAAAAUACCGGUGUGCAUUGUCUUGCAGUAUUCCCCCCUCACUCCUGUCUGGCGCGCCGGGUCUGCAGUGGAGCUGUUAACAGAUGAUCCCGAAACCGGCAUCUAAGUGAGAACCAGAGCAAUGGGACGCUCCCUGAGGUAAGUGGAGCAGACAGUAGAGUGACGGUUAAGAGGCUUAAUUUAGAAGGAACUUGAAAAUGGGCUACUGUUAUAGACGGCAGCUGCGGUGGUGAUGUACGUGUAGUGACAAAUCAUUGAGUAAAAAAAGAUAUGACGACCAUUUAUUUUUAUUCUGUUCUGUCUUCACAGUGGCAACAUCAGAGUCCCUUUCUCUUCCGAAAUGGAGGGGAUCGACAAUGAAUACUCAACAUUCCUUUCACCUGAUGUUGGAUAGAUAGGGUUUUUAUCAUGAAAAAAAACCUACAGGGGAGAUUUUACCCCCAUAUUGUAAUGUUUUUAUUUCCAUAGUCAUUUUCUUUUAUGUGUUUUUGUGUUUGUUUUGGUUGACUGUACGGUAUGAGGUAAAGCUCUACCAUGAGUGUGGGGCAUGGCUCCCUCUGUGUGUCUGUGUAUUUUAUUAUAGUUUUUUUUUUAUUAAUGUGUUAGGAAAACUCGGGACUCUAAGCCUUGAUGAUAUUUAAACCUUCUUGGGGGAGACGGAGGGAAAGAUGCCAAAAAAAAAGGGGGGGGGGGGAGAAAGCAACCUGAGGUAGAGCUGACAUGAUUGGAGCUACCCAGAAGCCCAUGCGUCUGUGUUUACAAACCCCACAGGUGGCCCCACACGGCCGACAGCCCUUGCAGCAGCAUGUCUUCCACUUGUCCACUCAACACACUUUGCACUGCUUGUUUCAUUCUCCACAUCCACUGUAUAUGUCGUUUUAGUUCGUAACCCCAGGCCCCAGCACCACAACCAUUUGUCAGCGCCCAACUCCCAGUUCAGACCUAUUCAAAGCCAAGCACAGCUCGUUUGUCUUGUUGAUUCACUCUGGUCUAUGCACUUGUUCACAAGUGCUCUGAUCAGGAUCUCAAAAGUCCCUGUGUCUUUUCUGUAUUUAAGCUUUAUGCAAGUCAGAACAUGUGCACCUCUGAACGAGAUGGCAAAAACAUCAGAAAUCCUACAGACAAUAAAACACUCAAUCUACAGGCACACCUUCCACGUGUGCUAACGACCCUCUUUUGUGAGUCACACACUAAAGAUCUAUGUUUAAUCUCAUUCUGAUACCACGGUCAAUCUAAUUUCACUAUUCACACUCUUGACAGUUAUUUCCUGAGGCUAAGAGUCCCUGCUUAUCAUGUAUUUUAGUAAGUGCUUUCUGAGCUCAUGGUGUGUUCAUUUUGUUUUAUUUUUAGAAUGUUGCUUUUUAGUUUUGUUGUUUUCUUUUCUUUUGGUUCUGUUUUGCUUUGCUAGUAUAAAAAGAUAUCUAUAAUAAUGUGCGUUGUAAUUUAGAAGUAGCUGUAGAAAUGCAUUGUUUCCUUGUGGUAAGUGAUUGAGAUGCUGCCACGGAAGUAAGACACUGAUGAAUGGUGCUAUUUUGGACUUUAAUCUGCUACUUGGUGAGGUAGCUCUGGUGGGUUUCAUUUUAUAUGUUCAUGUUCUGAGAAGGUGUUGGUUCUUUGUGGUCUGGACGUUGUAUACUUGGUCUGGAUUGACUUUUUUUUUCCUGUUGAUUUUCUGUGCGGCUUUCUCAUUGGAUUUAUGGAUGAAACAAACAAAAGAGGAAAAUAGGCACAGUUGAUAUUUUCAGAAGGUGGCGAUCCAAUCACGUGUGGAGGGUGGGAGCAAUCACAAAACUGCAAUCCUUUAAAAGAGCUGUUUUGCCCCCUCAGCACAGAUAAGACUCGGACAUGAUAGUUAUAGGCUAGUUCCCAGCACAGGUCACUUUUAGAAAAUGUAAUGCUCCCUCUAAUUAUGUACCACAUGAAGAGUCACACUAACUAUAUAAAGAGUGUAUUUUGUGGCGCAGUACUGUCAUGGGUACAUCAACCUGAGAUUUGCACAUUGCAUAUUAAGAAUGCUUCCAUCAAUCAAUCAAUCAAUCGAAGAAGUCUCAACACAUGCCACAGCAUUAAAUGAGCUUUCUGCUUCUUCCAUUGCUUUGCAUAGUUUAGAGGCUAUGAUGUGGGGAUGGGGGGAGGGUACGAAAUGGCGAACCAUUUUGCCAUAGUCCCUUCCAAAAGCCAUGCACCUUCUUCAGACGCAGCUCGUCUGGGGCUCAGGGGUGUUAGAUGCUGCAUCUUUACCAGCAGGCCAAGACCUGUACGUCUGAUAAUCUAACUGUCUCUGGUCAGACAGUCAAUCUUAAAUUGUGAUGCACAUAAUUUUUUUUAGAAAUGCAUUUUCCAAAAAAAGCCAAAUAUGUAGCAUAAAGAAGCUGAACAAUCUUCAUAAUGACUUACCUAUUUUGUAAAGUAAUAUUAGAAUUAUUUUUCUUUGAUAAAAUAUGAACCAAAAAGCUUUCUAUGAAUUAUUUUGUCUAGUGAGGUUAACUUAAGUAUUGUUAUUCAGUAUUUGCAGUUUUGUCUUUGCUUCCUGUCGAUUCAUACUUUUAAAAGUCUCAAUAUGACGACCAACUUGAAAGCCCACAUUAGUUUCUUUGUCUUCCAUUCUUACUCCAGUAUGGAGGACCCUCCUAGCUUACUGUAGUUCUUCCUUGACUCCAUUAUCCUGUCCACUUGCAUGUUCUGUGCUGUUUUGUUUCUCUUCAGUACUUUUUCAAUUAUUCUUCCUCAUAGACUAGGUAUGCCAGCUGUCUUGUACAUAGCAAGUGAUUAGUAUAGGCAGGGGCGGCAACAGUAUGAGAUAAUAUGUAUUAUUGAAUGUGUAUGAUUGGUUUUAAAAACUAAUGACAAAAAAAAACACACAAAACCAGCUUAGUUACAGUAUCUUAAUUAUGAAGCACUGAUAGUAUUCCAUGUACUUUUGGCAAAUUUAGCAGUAGUUAAAUAAAUUUGCAAGCUCUGAAAAAUGAAUCACCGUUUCUGUGUUUUAUUUCCCCCCUCUAGUUCUAGAAGCACCGUAGGCAUUGCCCCAUACUGGUUGAUAAAAUUCUGCAGUACACACAUCUGCGUUUAGUCAUUGGAUAUGGCAGAAAGAAAACAGAAGUUCAGUGUUUUCUUCGGGAGAAGGCAACUUAAUACACUCAUUUAAUUGUGAACUGAUGGGCUCCUAUGCAGUGUUCAUGGAUAAUGAUGGAAGUUUAAAGCAGAUCUGGGUUGACCUUUAAAAAGCACGCCCAUAUGUAGCAGCACCAUUUCCUGCCCCAGACAUGAACACCAUGGUUCAGACCUGCCAGAGAGACCAUUAGUGUUUUCUUCAAGGUGCUUUAAGUCACAAUAUGAGCCCUCUUGGCAGAUUUGGUUUCUGCCAUUUUAAAGGAAAGAAGUUUGCAAGGUCAUUGCACACCUUUACCCUUUACCAUCCCUACCUUAAGACUAUCAUUGAUGUUCUACACUGACACAUUUAAUGUGGCACGUGUGUGUCUCAUUCCUCAGAUUUGUAUUAUACAAUAUUAUAUUUCU
Molecule: long non-coding RNA, 5266 nt
Organism: Clupea harengus (Atlantic herring)
Lineage: Eukaryota; Metazoa; Chordata; Actinopteri; Clupeiformes; Clupeidae
Source: Ensembl